UCACGGAAGUGGGCUGCACUAGAAGCGCCUGAGCUAACCCGCAAGGGAGGCAGGGCAUCACGGUGUGGUCCAUGACUGGGGUG
Molecule: ribosomal RNA, 83 nt
Filed under: uncultured bacterium
Lineage: Bacteria
Description: partial 16S ribosomal RNA
Source: RNAcentral